RNAcentral lists this ribosomal RNA (790 nucleotides) under uncultured Staphylococcus sp. Its description in RNAcentral is "bacterial SSU rRNA". It matches the Rfam family "Bacterial small subunit ribosomal RNA", at positions 129 to 905 of the family's 1533-position model. Lineage: Bacteria; Bacillati; Bacillota; Bacilli; Caryophanales; Staphylococcaceae. The record is from RNAcentral.
CCUAUAAGACUGGGAUAACUUCGGGAAACCGGAGCUAAUGCCGGAUAACAUUUGGAACCGCAUGGUUCUAAAGUAAAAGAUGGUUUUGCUAUCACUUAUAGAUGGACCCGCGCCGUAUUAGCUAGUUGGUAAGGUAACGGCUUACCAAGGCAACGAUACGUAGCCGACCUGAGAGGGUGAUCGGCCACACUGGAACUGAGACACGGUCCAGACUCCUACGGGAGGCAGCAGUAGGGAAUCUUCCGCAAUGGACGAAAGUCUGACGGAGCAACGCCGCGUGAGUGAUGAAGGUUUUCGGAUCGUAAAACUCUGUUAUUAGGGAAGAACAAAUGUGUAAGUAACUGUGCACAUCUUGACGGUACCUAAUCAGAAAGCCACGGCUAACUACGUGCCAGCAGCCGCGGUAAUACGUAGGUGGCAAGCGUUAUCCGGAAUUAUUGGGCGUAAAGCGCGCGUAGGCGGUUUCUUAAGUCUGAUGUGAAAGCCCACGGCUCAACCGUGGAGGGUCAUUGGAAACUGGGAAACUUGAGUACAGAAGAGGAAAGUGGAAUUCCAUGUGUAGCGGUGAAAUGCGCAGAGAUAUGGAGGAACACCAGUGGCGAAGGCGACUUUCUGGUCUGUAACUGACGCUGAUGUGCGAAAGCGUGAGGAUCAAACAGGAUUAGAUACCCUGGUAGUCCACGCCGUAAACGAUGAGUGCUAAGUGUUAGGGGGUUUCCGCCCCUUAGUGCUGCAGCUAACGCAUUAAGCACUCCGCCUGGGGAGUACGACCGCAAGGUUGAAACUCAAA